GUACGUUCUCAGGGCGGGGUGAAACUCCCCACCGGCGGUAACAGGCGUGAAUGUCUGGAGCCCGCGAGCGCUUCAGGUCGUUCGGCAUCAGCCGCACGUCGUGAAGGUCAGCAGAUCCGGUGUGAUUCCGGAGCCGACGGUAUAGUCCGGAUGAAAGAGAGCAAAC
This 166-nucleotide non-coding RNA is filed under the name Rhizobium sp. RNAcentral describes it as "FMN sequence". It matches the Rfam family "FMN riboswitch aptamer (RFN element)". From Rfam's summary of the family: The RFN element is a highly conserved domain that is found frequently in the 5'-untranslated regions of prokaryotic mRNAs that encode for flavin mononucleotide (FMN) biosynthesis and transport proteins. This element is a metabolite-dependent riboswitch that directly binds FMN in the absence of proteins. The record is from RNAcentral. Lineage: Bacteria; Pseudomonadati; Pseudomonadota; Alphaproteobacteria; Hyphomicrobiales; Rhizobiaceae. RNAcentral also lists the same sequence under 1 other name.